UGUCGGGUCGAGAAGGAGGAAAGAAAAAACCUCUUAAACAGCCCAAGAAAGAGAAGAAGGAAAUGGAUGAGGAUGAGGUGGCACAUCAACAGAAGAUGAAGGCUGACAAAAAGGCGCUUGAACAAGCUAAGGCAAAAGCAGCUCAGAAAGGACCAAUGGGUGGAAGUGGCAUAAAGAAGUCUGGAAAGAAAUGACACUGGAUUAUUCAUC
Molecule: long non-coding RNA, 210 nt
Organism: Stylophora pistillata
Lineage: Eukaryota; Metazoa; Cnidaria; Anthozoa; Scleractinia; Pocilloporidae
Source: RefSeq, a predicted model, not a curated record